GAUGAACGCUGGCGGCGUGCCUAAUACAUGCAAGUCGAGCGAACAGACGAGGAGCUUGCUCCUCUGACGUUAGCGGCGGACGGGUGAGUAACACGUGGAUAACCUACCUAUAAGACUGGGAUAACUUCGGGAAACCGGAGCUAAUACCGGAUAAUAUAUUGAACCGCAUGGUUCAAUAGUGAAAGACGGUUUUGCUGUCACUUAUAGAUGGAUCCGCGCGGCAUUAGCUAGUUGGUAAGGUAACGGCUUACCAAGGCAACGAUGCGUAGCCGACCUGAGAGGGCGAUCGGCCACACUGGAACUGCGACACGGGCAAGACUCCUACGGGAGGAAGCAGUAGGGAAUCUUCUGCAAUGGGCGAAAGCCUGACGGAGCAGCGCCGCGUGAGUGAUGAAGGUCUUCGGAUCGUAACACUCUGUUAUUAGGGAAGAACAAAUGUGUAAGUAACUAUGCACGUCUUGACGGUACCUAAUCAGAAAGCCACGGCUAACUACGUG
RNAcentral lists this ribosomal RNA (497 nucleotides) under uncultured bacterium. RNAcentral describes it as "partial 16S ribosomal RNA". It matches the Rfam family "Bacterial small subunit ribosomal RNA", at positions 28 to 507 of the family's 1533-position model. The record is from RNAcentral.